RNAcentral lists this ribosomal RNA (429 nucleotides) under Pseudomonadota bacterium. RNAcentral describes it as "Proteobacteria bacterium partial 16S ribosomal RNA". It matches the Rfam family "Bacterial small subunit ribosomal RNA", at positions 355 to 776 of the family's 1533-position model. Lineage: Bacteria; Pseudomonadati; Pseudomonadota. The record is from RNAcentral.
UGGGGAAUAUUGGACAAUGGGCGAAAGCCUGAUCCAGCCAUGCCGCGUGUGUGAAGAAGGUCUUCGGAUUGUAAAGCACUUUAAGUUGGGAGGAAGGGCAGUAAGCGAAUACCUUGCUGUUUUGACGUUACCGACAGAAUAAGCACCGGCUAACUCUGUGCCAGCAGCCGCGGUAAUACAGAGGGUGCAAGCGUUAAUCGGAAUUACUGGGCGUAAAGCGCGCGUAGGUGGUUCGUUAAGUUGAAUGUGAAAGCCCCGGGCUCAACCUGGGAACUGCAUCCAAAACUGGCGAGCUAGAGUAGGGCAGAGGGUGGUGGAAGUUCCUGUGUAGCGGUGAAAUGCGUAGAUAUAGGAAGGAACAACAGUGGCGAAGGCGACCACCUGGGCUCAUACUGACACUGAGGUGCGAAAGCGUGGGGAGCAAACAGG